UUGAUGUUUCUGUUCAAAACUCCCACUCAAACUUUUCCAAGAAUAUUGAGUGCUCCUACUAUACCUUCUGCUGAAAUGCUCUCAACACAUUCAAGUACUUCCUUGGAGAUUAUUGAUUUUUCUGUUCUUUUAAGACACUGUUUCAAUAGGGUCUGUUCCUAAAACUCUCUGGUUUUUUACUCUAAGGGUGUACUAUGCCCCUCUAAACUCCUCUAUCUUUUUGGUUUUGUUAUGAAUAUCUAUCUAUUGUACAUCUGUGUGUAUUUUUUUUAUUAUGCCAAAGGGGGAGAUUUAUAUCCACAAAAUAACAGGGAUAAGCGCAUAUAGACAUGGUGGAUCUAUGCAAGCAAACAGGGGGAGCUUCAGGAAGUCUCAUGAACUAAAUCAUUAUAUCUUUUGAUAUCUUAUUUAUUUUGUGGAUUAAUUUUCAUUAUCAAAAAGGAGGAGAUCGUUUUCCUCCCGAAUACUCAUGGAUUUUGAUAAUUAACAAUUAAACUACUUUGAUUGCAGUAAUAUCACAAAUAAGGAAGGAAGGAAGCAAUAUAGAUAGUUGAUUUGAG
RNAcentral lists this long non-coding RNA (560 nucleotides) under Solanum tuberosum (potato). RNAcentral's name for it is "long non-coding RNA (STUB_LNC009986)". The record is from RNAcentral. Lineage: Eukaryota; Viridiplantae; Streptophyta; Magnoliopsida; Solanales; Solanaceae.